This is a long non-coding RNA of Hydra vulgaris (swiftwater hydra), 4998 nucleotides long. RefSeq lists it as uncharacterized. NCBI's taxonomy places the organism in Eukaryota, Metazoa, Cnidaria, Hydrozoa, Anthoathecata, Hydridae. The record is from RefSeq and is a predicted model, not a curated record.
AUGAACAUGUAAUUUUAUUAUUCACUAACAACGGUGAGUCAUUUGUUAAAACUCUUAAUCAAGUAAAUGGGUUAUUUUGUUUGAACACUAGUAAACAUCAACUAUAUAAUGUUAUUAACACUUCAAAAAAAUUGACCAGAAAUUAUAAAAAGGAUUGUACAAGUUUUAUUGAAUUUUGUAAUCAGCCCUUUACACACCACACACCAAGUGUGUCAAUAAUAAAGGCAAUGCAUCUUAAACAGAGUAGUUCGUUGGUUACAGUUGAAGAGUCUUCUUUUAACAUCCCAUUAACAUAUUUCUAUUUUACCUUCAGUUAUUGGAGAACCUGCAAAUUCCAUUGAAAAUGAUGCAAGGAUGCAUACAUCAAGAGUACAGCUAACCUCUAAAAAAGCAUCACCAGGUUAUUAUAUUUAUCUUCUUAGUUAGUUAGCUCAACCAGAGAACACAAAAAAAUAGCAAAUGUUAAAUUGAAAUAUAAUAGCAUGCCAUAUAAGCUAAAAGUAUUUUUAAAAAAUAUCAAAAGAAAAGAAGAUAUUAUUAAAGCUUUGAGGACAGAAGUUAGAGAAUUAAAAAAAAAAAUUAAUACGUAUUAUUACAGCAAGUUAACAUCUUAAAGCGAGACAAAGGCAUUUAAAAUAAAAGAAAAAAAAUUUAAUGCAAAUAAAAGUAAGACAUAAAACUGAUGUUGAUGCAAAUAAAAUGUUUAGUGAUCAAUUAGAAAAUGACAUGUUACAAAUAAAAGAGGGAAAAUUUUUAAAUGUUAAUAUGUCAGAAGACGAUAAGAGUUACUCUUUAAAAAUAAGGAUGAUAAUUUGUAGCAUGUUAUUAGCUAAUGUGCCAACAGGUAACAUCGGAAUCUUAAUUAUAAAAAUUAAUCCUAAAAUUUACCAAUAUUUGGGUGUUAACUUUAAUUUGCAAAAUGUUUGGAUAUGAUUGUAUGGCAGUCAAAAUUGGGUUAGCAAUGAACAAGAUGAGGUUUAAGGAUGGCAAAGGUGAUCCACGGGGAUUUGUUAAUUUUUUAGUCAAUAAUGAACUACCGCGAAGUAUUGUUCCAUGGUAUCGUGGAAACCGUCUGCACAUUCUUUUCCAUACUUGUUUUAUUUUUAUGAAAACUAUACUGCUUUUCUACUUUAUCUGACCACUGGAACAGUAAAAUAUUUCAGUUUACAACCAAUUCUGCUAAAAGCCUUUCGUAAUGCAACUGCUAUAAAACAAAUGGGAGUGCUUGCACUAUUUAGUAAACUUUUCAGUGGACCAUGGAUGACUAAGUUUUAUGUAUCAGCUGAUGAUACAUGUUUUGAUCAUGUCACUGGUAUUCAGGUAGUAUAAGAUGUUCUAAAAGAAGUUACUAAUUGCAAGUCUGAUCCAGCUGCACUAUUUUGCAGAGAAAUUGAUUUUUUUGCAAAAACCCUUGUCCCUAAUAUUUUACAGUCUAUUACAACUUUAUGCCCCAUUGAUGAACAACUUGCAAAAAUGACUUCUGCUUGUCUUAAUGCAGUUAAAGAAGUCUUGACUCGUCAAUAUAAGAGAUAUUUCUUCCUUUUUAUUUCAGCAGAACUCAAAAAGGAGACAGCUUGUGCAAGGCUUCACAAUAUAGAUAGUGAAGAAUUAAUUGGUAUGUUUAGUGAUGCCAAAGUACGAUGCCCUAAUGCAACAAUUUGUUAUAUAUCUAGAAAAUUAAGAUCCAAAAUGACUAUAGACUAUCUUGAGAACCUUGAGGAGUUUUGUAGGGAAAAGGUGAUUAAAUGGUCUAUUUACAUGGCACGUAAAAAAAGAAUCAAAAAUUGACUACUACAUAAUGAAAUUCGAGCAGAGAUUGCUGGUAGACAGGCGUUCAAGCGCCAAAAAGUGGACGAAAAAAAAAAAGAAAGUUAGAGCGUGAGCUGUGUUUAUUAACUACCAGUGAAAUGAUGCAUAAAUAUAAACACUUGUCUGCGAAGCAAUUAGAAGAUUUAGAUGAUGUUAUGUCAGAAAGAAUUGUUGGCAGAAAACUUGGUCAUGAGUGGUAUGAUGCUGACUGUUCAAAAUCUGUCCUUUAUGAUGGUAGAGUUGAAAAGGUACACAAGAGCCAACAAGACAAAAUUUACACUAUUUCUUACUGGAAAAAAGAUAAAACUGAUCUUUAAGCUGUUGAAUAUAAGAUAAAAAAAUACAGCUUGCAGCUGAUGUUAUAACAGGAGAAUUAAUAUUUUCUUAAUUUCAAUAUGAAAAUAAUUUAAAUUAUGUAUAAUUAUAUUCAUAUAAUUAGAAGUUACCAAAGGAGUACCGCAAGUUGUGUAGCUUGCAAAUAUGGUACAGCAAGUUGUGUAGCUUGCAAAAGGAGUACCGCAAGUUGUGUAACUUGCAAAUAUGGUACAGCAAGUUGUGUAGCUUGCAAAAGGAGUACUGCAAGUUGUGUAGCUUGCAAUUAUGGUACAGCAAGUUGUGUAGCUUGCGAAGUUUGUUUGAUAGACGGCUCUGGAUUACCUUCACAUAGUGUCUAUUGUUAAAAAUGAUUUAUUAUAUUUUAAUUACUGGAAUUCUAAAUAAUAUCAUUUACUAAAAGCCAAGACAUUAAUUUAUAUAUUUUGUAUUUUAAAACUUUUUAAAAUAUAAGUUUUAAAACUGUGGUUAAUUUUUAGGGUGGAUACUCCAACCUGCAUCUUGUAAUGUGGUUGGAGAAGACUGAGAGGAAGGGGGAGGGGCGUUAAGCGUGGCAUCGUCCCGCCCUCUAAUGUCAGUUUAUGCACCACUUGUAUAUGCUGUUAAGUAUACACAAAAUAUAAUUUAAACUUUUUAACACAAAACAUAAUCAGUGUUUUUUAGGUUCAAAUAUUUAUAAGAUUAUAACAUUUCACUAUGAGGGUGUUAAAACGUAACAAUGACAUCCACCCUUUAAUCUAAAAUAGACCGCUAAUAUUUGGAAAUGUAAUGGAAGCAAAUUAGAACAACUUUUUCUGUAUAAAGAUAACAAAUUUUAUUAGGAAAAUACUCUUUUGUGUGAAAAACAUGUAUUUUUUUAAGGUUACGAUGGUGUUCCAAUACCCCCUUUGGCCCUCUAGACACCCCUUUUAUCUAUAGAGGUAUAUGAACUUGUAGCCUACUCUUACAUCUAUCUUUUGAUACCAAGGUAUAGGUAUUUAGAUAAAAUUUGACAAAGAUAUAACAAUUUCAGUGAAAAAUAAAUAAAUUUUGGAACCAGUUUCUUCAAGAAAUCAAUAUAUCAAAAUUUUGCUACUAAAAACGUCAUAACUUUUUUUUAAAUUGUUUGUUUUUAAUUUUUAAUUGUUCUUCAAUAAUUUUUUCACCAUUAAAAUACUUUAUUGAAGGGCUUUCUAAUGAUAUAAAACAUUCUAGUAUAUUACAUGUCAUGUUAUUCAUCAAGGAAAAUAUAUUCAGAAAGAUCAAAUCGUUUAAAGAAGAGGAAUGCUGAAAAAGUGCUUAUUGAAGAGAAUAGUAUUAACAGCUGUUUACAAGAAGAAAUUGUUGAUGAAUCCAAAACUGUCAAAAUUAUAAGGGAGAUAAGAGAAGAAAACGAGAAGUUAAAAAACUUAAAUAAAAAACUAAAAGAAGACAGUGAAGCAGAAUUUGAUUUUCUUCAAAAGUCAAAAUAUAUUAUACAAAAAAUAAUAAAUAUAAAUACUGCACUUGUCAAGAAAAACAAAAUAUUGAAAAAUCAAAUUGAUGAGGCUACUUUUAAAUUAAUAAAAGAUAAAAAGAAAAUUCAAUUUUAUACAGGUCUUCCUGAUAUACAUGUUUUUAAACAUGUUUUUAACUUAAUUGAAAACCAUAUUCCAGCUAAUAACUCUUCAACUAUGACAAAGUUGCAAGAAUUUUGUAUUAUUUUAAUGAAACUGCGUCUAAAUUUGCUGUAACAAGAUAUAGUGUACAGAUUUGGUAUGAUUCAACCAACCGUAUCACGAAUCUUUUAAUCACGAAGCCAUUCCUUUGAGAAAUGGCUUCUUGUAAUGGCACGCAGACUAUACUUUUUGAUAAAGUGGCCAGAGAGAAGUAUAUUCAGGAGAACAAUGCCAAUUUGUUUUCGAGAAUUUUUUUCUAAAUGUGUUGUAAUUAUUAACUGCUUUGAGAUUUUUAUUGAAAAACCAAAAGAUCUGACAGCUAAAGCUCAAACUUUUUCUAAAUAUAAACACCAUAAUACUAUUAAAGUUAUAAUUGUCAUUACUCCACAAGAAUCGAUAUCAUUUGUUUCAGAAGCUUGGGGUGGAAGAGUAUCUGACGUUUAUAUUACAGAAAAUUCUGGAAUAUUAAAUAAUCUACUUAUUGGUGAUCAGUUGUUAGCUGACAGAGGUUUUACCAUUGCAGAUUCCGUUGGUUUAUAUUGUGCCGAAUUAAAACUUCCUGCUUUUACACGAGGAAAGUCUCAGCUAUCUCAAAUAGAAGUUGAUUGGACGCGAGAGAUUGCCCGUGUACGAAUACACGUUGAACGUUUAAUGUAAACUAAAGAAUAUUUUAACUGUUUGCUCUGCUUUAUUUAAUCUUUGUUAUGGAGUAGUCCCUAUAGAUUGACUUUUAUUUUAAUAUAUAAAAAUACAUAAAUGUAGUAUUAUGUUUAUUUAUUCAUUUAAACCUUUUUUUUUAAUUCUAGUUUUAUUGUGGCAACAAUAUGGGCAAAACCAUUUUCCAAUUGGUUUACUUGUAAGUCCAAGACAAUUAAGAUGAUAGAUUUUUAUAACACAAGCUAAAUCAAAACAUUUAAUUAUAAUACUCUCUUUAAUUUCACGGCAAGUACAUAUUGUUUUAAAAUUGUUAUUUUUUUUUAAUGCCCCAAUAUUUACAAAAGUAUUAUGAUUUCUAGAAUACCAUUUGGCAAGGAGUUCAGGCAGUAUCACUAAAAUAAAAAAAUCUCUUGGUUUGUUUAAGUUUUCAGUGAAGAAUUCUUAUCAACAUAAAUUUUUUCAACUGGCUUCACCAUUAUACACGAUAAAAUAACAAAUCGGAAUAUUUGAAAUUAACAUUUGUAGCUGAACUUUAUAAUAAUAUUGAUGAGUUCUUUUUAAA